This 253-nucleotide ribosomal RNA is filed under the name uncultured bacterium. RNAcentral describes it as "partial 16S ribosomal RNA". It matches the Rfam family "Bacterial small subunit ribosomal RNA", at positions 524 to 776 of the family's 1533-position model. The record is from RNAcentral.
UACGGAGGGUGCAAGCGGUAUCCGGACUCACUGGGUUAAAAGGGUGCGUAGGCGGCUUGAUAAGUCAGGGGUGAAAGCCCGCAGCUUAACUGCGGAACUGCCUUUGAUACUGUCGAGCUUGAAAGAGGUUGAGGUCAGCGGAACGUGACAUGUAGCGGUGAAAUGCAUAGAUAUGUCACAGAACACCGAUUGCGAAGGCAGCUGGCUGGACCUACUUUGACGCUGAGGCACGAAAGCGUGGGGAGCGAACAGG